RNAcentral lists this ribosomal RNA (497 nucleotides) under uncultured bacterium. Its description in RNAcentral is "partial 16S ribosomal RNA". It matches the Rfam family "Bacterial small subunit ribosomal RNA", at positions 28 to 507 of the family's 1533-position model. The record is from RNAcentral.
GACGAACGCUGGCGGCGUGCCUAAUACAUGCAAGUUGAGCGAUGAAGAUUGGUGCUUGCACCAAUUUGAAGAGCAGCGAACGGGUGAGUAACGCGUGGGGAAUCUGCCUUUGAGCGGGGGACAACAUUUGGAAACGAAUGCUAAUACCGCAUAAUAACUUUAAACAUAAGUUUUAAGUUUGAAAGAUGCAAUUGCAUCACUCAAAGAUGAUCCCGCGUUGUAUUAGCUAGUUGGUGAGGUAAAGGCUCACCAAGGCGAUGAUACGUAGCCGACCUGAGAGGGUGAUCGGCCACAUUGGGACUGAGACACGGCCCAAACUCCUACGGGAGGCAGCAGUAGGGAAUCUUCGGCAAUGGACGAAAGUCUGACCGAGCAACGCCGCGUGAGUGAAGAAGGGUUUCGGAUCGUAAAACUCUGUUGGUAGAGAAGAACGUUGGUGAGAGUGGAAAGCUCAUCAAGUGACGGUAACUACCCAGAAAGGGACGGCUAACUACGUG